GUGACCUGGUACGCCGGCGGGCGGCGCCUCGUCCGGUGGCCGGAGGCCAGGAAGGGGAUCGGCUCGGGUUGCAUUCGGUGACCUCUCGCAGCUCCCCCCAGGGAGGACGAUGAUUGAACUCUCCGUGAGCCCGUGACCCCGGCGCAGCGGCGGCGGAGAGUGCGCUGCCCGCGCCCGCGGACGGAGGCUAAGGGAAGCAGGGCCGUCGACGCGCGCUCCCAAGGAAACCAGAUGCUUAUGCUGUGCCCUGACUUGGUACAUCAUUAGUGGUCUGGUCAAGGAACAUUCUGAGGGCAAGAAUGGCCAUUUAUAGCUCAAGGAACCUGGUGCUCCAUUACAUGAUUUGAGCAGCUUGUCUGUAGGAACUGUCCUGCGAGAAAGGAAGAGGCCAAGGAGAUGAUCUGCACAAGAGCAAGGCCAAGGGAAGGUAUGUGAAGUGCAAUAUCAAAUGAAGGCCGGGUGUUAUGCCUCUUUUCGGAGAAAAAGUGAAGGUCUGUAAAAACUGGAGGGGCUGCAUAGUUUUCUUGUAAAACUAUCAUGAUGCUUAUUCUUCAGAUGGUUGCUUCUAUCAACAAGGAUGCCCUUCUGGAGUUCUUUAUCGACUACCAAGUAGUCACUUUUGCACUUAAUGGUGUGACAUGCAGCUUGCUUGUUGUGGAAAAAUAAGGGAUACCCCCUCUGAUGUGCCCUGACAGACUAUGUAAAGCGUCAAAGGUCUAGUCAAGGAAGACUUGAGAGUCUGGUAACAAAAAAAGGGGCAAGUUUGUAGCCUCAUGGAUGCAGUGACCUGGUGUUCUUUGCCUCUUUUGUCAUGCCGGCGUUGCCUGGUGCGUACGUCUGCUGUUGUUUUCCAUUCCCCCGGCUUCACUCACCGGCGCGUCAUUCCGGAACAUUGAUUGUGAACUCAAGUAGACAGGAUAGCGUGCGAGGACUUGCAAUGGAAGGAUGGUUGAUUGCAACAGGCCGGAAUUCAGGCUGGUUGCUGGUCAGUUUAGUUGAACAUAUAGUUGGUGUAAAGAGUUGUAUUUCUUUUUGGGUAUUGGUUAUUUUAGAUGAUGCUGUUUUGACGCUCUGUUCCCAGCGUAGAGUGAUGAGCAGAAGAAUCACUGUACAUGUGGAUAAUAAUAUAGUUCUGGUUGAGAGAAAUAUCAAAGUUUUUGUGAGACCAGUGAUAGAAUCCAGGUAUAAUAUAUUCUUUACUGGCCUAGUA
This is a long non-coding RNA of Triticum urartu, 1210 nucleotides long. RefSeq lists it as uncharacterized. Lineage: Eukaryota; Viridiplantae; Streptophyta; Magnoliopsida; Poales; Poaceae. The record is from RefSeq and is a predicted model, not a curated record.